Molecule: ribosomal RNA, 433 nt
Filed under: uncultured bacterium
Lineage: Bacteria
Description: partial 16S ribosomal RNA
Rfam family: Bacterial small subunit ribosomal RNA
Source: RNAcentral
AACGAGCGCUGGCGGCAUGCCUAACACAUGCAAGUCGAACGAGACCUUCGGGUCUAGUGGCGCACGGGUGCGUAACGCGUGGGAACCUGCCCUUAGGUUCGGAAUAACUCCCCGAAAGGGGUGCUAAUACCGGAUAAUGUCUUCGGACCAAAGAUUUAUCGCCUUUGGAUGGGCCCGCGUUGGAUUAGCUAGUUGGUAGGGUAAAAGCCUACCAAGGCGACGAUCCAUAGCUGGUCUGAGAGGAUGAUCAGCCACACUGGGACUGAGACACGGACCAGACUCCUACGGGAGGCAGCCGUGGGGAAUAUUUGACAAUGGGCGAAAGCCUGAUCCAGCAAUGCCGCGUGAGUGAUGAAGGCCUUAGGGUUGUAAAGCUCUUUUACCCGGGAUGAUAAUGACAGUACCGGGAGAAUAAGCUCCGGCUAACUCCGUG